This is a small nucleolar RNA of Boleophthalmus pectinirostris (great blue-spotted mudskipper), 74 nucleotides long. The record is from RefSeq and is a predicted model, not a curated record. Lineage: Eukaryota; Metazoa; Chordata; Actinopteri; Gobiiformes; Gobiidae.
AGUGUUACUGAUGACCUGUUUUUACCGCCCCAGUCUGAAUGUUCAUGACUGAUUGGUAUCCCCUCUGAUCCACA